This 170-nucleotide non-coding RNA is filed under the name Anaerocolumna aminovalerica. The record is from RNAcentral. Lineage: Bacteria; Bacillati; Bacillota; Clostridia; Lachnospirales; Lachnospiraceae.
CAUUUAAGGUGUCAGAAUACCAAAUUGGUUCUGAUGAAAAGGGAAACAGGUGAAAAUCCUGUACGAACUCGUCACUGUGAUAAGGGAGUUGCGGCAAAUACGUCACUGAUAUUAAUCGGGAAGACUGCUGUUAAUGAUGAUCUUUUAGUCAGGAGACCUGCCUUGGAUGA